This 171-nucleotide ribosomal RNA is filed under the name Haematococcus lacustris. RNAcentral describes it as "large subunit ribosomal RNA". Lineage: Eukaryota; Viridiplantae; Chlorophyta; Chlorophyceae; Chlamydomonadales; Haematococcaceae. The record is from RNAcentral.
UGAUUUAUUGGUAACAGAACGUGUAUAUAUCAGAAGUUUGUAAAACAUAUACAUUGAGUAUGCACACAUAAGUAACAGAAAUAAAAAACGUUAAUCUUUGUAUGGACACAUAUAAAGAAGAAACGGUUAAUACCGUAUAUUUAAGAGUUAAGAAAACUGUUAAACAUGUUU